This 253-nucleotide ribosomal RNA is filed under the name uncultured bacterium. RNAcentral describes it as "partial 16S ribosomal RNA". It matches the Rfam family "Bacterial small subunit ribosomal RNA", at positions 524 to 776 of the family's 1533-position model. The record is from RNAcentral.
UACGUAGGGUGCAAGCGUUAAUCGGAAUUACUGGGCGUAAAGCGUGCGCAGGCGGCUUUGCAAGACAGAUGUGAAAUCCCCGGGCUCAACCUGGGAAGUGCAUUGGAAACUGGGAGACUUGAGUACGGGAGAGGGCAGUGGAAUUCCUGGUGUAGGAGUGAAAUCCGUAGAUAUCAGGAGGAACACCGGUGGCGAAGGCGGCUGCCUGGACCGAUACUGACGCUGAGACGCGAAAGCGUGGGGAGCAAACAGG